This 238-nucleotide ribosomal RNA is filed under the name uncultured bacterium. RNAcentral's name for it is "partial 16S ribosomal RNA". It matches the Rfam family "Bacterial small subunit ribosomal RNA", at positions 118 to 352 of the family's 1533-position model. The record is from RNAcentral.
UGAGGAACAUGACCUUCGGCGGGGGAUAGCCGGCCCAACGGCCGGGUAAUACCGCGUACGACCACAUGGGGACAUCCCUGAGUGGUGAAAGCAGCAAUGCGCCGAUAGAGUGCCUCGCGGCCUAUCAGCUAGUUGGUGAGGUAACGGCUCACCAAGGCGACGACGGGUAGCCGGCCUGAGAGGGUGACCGGCCACACUGGGACUGAGACACGGUUCAGACUCCGUACGGGAGGNAGCG